This 468-nucleotide ribosomal RNA is filed under the name uncultured bacterium. RNAcentral's name for it is "partial 16S ribosomal RNA". It matches the Rfam family "Bacterial small subunit ribosomal RNA", at positions 28 to 507 of the family's 1533-position model. The record is from RNAcentral.
GACGAACGCUGGCGGCGUGCUUAACACAUGCAAGUCGAACGGAAAGGCCCUGCUUUUGUGGGGUGCUCGAGUGGCGAACGGGUGAGUAACACGUGAGUAACCUGCCCUUGACUUUGGGAUAACUUCAGGAAACUGGGGCUAAUACCGGAUAGGAGCUCCUGCUGCAUGGUGGGGGUUGGAAAGUUUCGGCGGUUGGGGAUGGACUCGCGGCUUAUCAGCUUGUUGGUGGGGUAGUGGCUUACCAAGGCUUUGACGGGUAGCCGGCCUGAGAGGGUGACCGGCCACAUUGGGACUGAGAUAAGGCCCAGACUCCUACGGGAGGGAGCAGGGGGGAAUAUUGCACAAUGGGCGGAAGGCUGAUGCAGCAACGCCGCGUGCGGGAUGACGGCCUUCGGGUUGUAAACCGCUUUCGCCUGUGACGAAGCGUGAGUGACGGUAAUGGGUAAAGAAGCAACGGCUAACUACGUG